This 248-nucleotide ribosomal RNA is filed under the name uncultured Actinomycetales bacterium. Its description in RNAcentral is "partial 16S ribosomal RNA". It matches the Rfam family "Bacterial small subunit ribosomal RNA", at positions 85 to 334 of the family's 1533-position model. The record is from RNAcentral. Lineage: Bacteria; Bacillati; Actinomycetota; Actinomycetes; Actinomycetales.
GGGUGCUCGAGUGGCGAACGGGUGAGUAACACGUGAGUAACCUGCCCUUGACUUUGGGAUAACUUCAGGAAACUGGGGCUAAUACCGGAUAGGAGCUCCUGCUGCAUGGUGGGGGUUGGAAAGUUUCGGCGGUUGGGGACGGACUCGCGGCUUAUCAGCUUGUUGGUGGGGUAGUGGCUUACCAAGGCUUUGACGGGUAGCCGGCCUGAGAGGGUGACCGGCCACAUUGGGACUGAGAUACGGCCCAG